Molecule: ribosomal RNA, 260 nt
Filed under: uncultured bacterium
Lineage: Bacteria
Description: partial 16S ribosomal RNA
Rfam family: Bacterial small subunit ribosomal RNA
Source: RNAcentral
UUGAUCAUGGCUCAGAUUGAACGCUGGCGGCAGGCCUAACACAUGCAAGUCGAGCGGUAACAGGGGAAGCUUGCUUCCCGCUGACGAGCGGCGGACGGGUGAGUAAUGUAUGGGGAUCUGCCCGAUAGAGGGGGAUAACCACUGGAAACGGUGGCUAAUACCGCAUAAUCUCUUAGGAGCAAAGCAGGGGAACUUCGGUCCUUGCGCUAUCGGAUGAACCCAUAUGGGAUUAGCUAGUAGGUGGGGUAAUGGCUCACCUA